UAGGGAAUCUUCGGCAAUGGGGGGAACCCUGACCGAGCAACGCCGCGUGAGUGAAGAAGGUUUUCGGAUCGUAAAGCUCUGUUGUUAAGGAAGAACGAGUGUGAGAAUGGAAAGUUCAUGCUGUGACGGUACUUAACCAGAAAGGGACGGCUAACUACGUGCCAGCAGCCGCGGUAAUACGUAGGUCCCGAGCGUUGUCCGGAUUUAUUGGGCGUAAAGCGAGCGCAGGCGGUUAGAAAAGUCUGAAGUGAAAGGCAGUUGCUCAACCAUUGUAGGCUUUGGAAACUGUUUAACUUGAGUGCAGAAGGGGAGAGUGGAAUUCCAUGUGUAGCGGUGAAAUGCGUAGAUAUAUGGAGGAACACCGGUGGCGAAAGCGGCUCUCUGGUCUGUAACUGACGCUGAGGCUCGAAAGCGUGGGGAGCGAACAGG
RNAcentral lists this ribosomal RNA (429 nucleotides) under Bacteroidota bacterium. RNAcentral describes it as "Bacteroidetes bacterium partial 16S ribosomal RNA". It matches the Rfam family "Bacterial small subunit ribosomal RNA", at positions 355 to 776 of the family's 1533-position model. The record is from RNAcentral. Lineage: Bacteria; Pseudomonadati; Bacteroidota.